Molecule: long non-coding RNA, 330 nt
Organism: Stomoxys calcitrans (stable fly)
Lineage: Eukaryota; Metazoa; Arthropoda; Insecta; Diptera; Muscidae
Exons: 2
Source: RefSeq, a predicted model, not a curated record
UCUAGUCAAGUUAUUUAAAACGUCGGUUAGAUAUUUUGAUAGUCCAUAUGUUGGGGAAUUAAUUGAUAUACAAAUCGGCCUGAGUGGAUUUUGGAUAAGCCAUAAAUUCUUGGGGCAAUCGCGGUAUAAUUCGUCAACAGGUUCAUUCCUGAAGUGGGAUCCCUUUUUAGACGUUUAUAUGUACACAUAUCCCCUAGUAUGGUACGCAUUUUUGUAACGUAGACAUUUUUUUUGCAAUACCACGGUUUUGCCUCCUUAAUCUGCUGACAAAAUUAGAAUGUCUUUAUUAGCCUUUAAAAACGUCUUUUUCCCCCCUGUAUCAAAUAUGAA